GCACAUGAGGGUGAUCUAACUGUGACAUCUGCCACUCCAUUGAUUGCCAGCAUUGCUGCAGAAUCUGGCUGGCCAAGUAAGUACCCCUUUUCUUCCUGACUGUUCUAUGUGUAUCCUUCCUGAAUCUGCAAGAGAGGUGGAGGAGAACGACCUUCCCCCAUAAAGGAGGACCAUUAUUUGGUCAAGGGUAUACCAGUAGCUGCACUACCCUGCUAGAACCUCCAAACACGCUCUCAAGAUGGAGCAAUUCAGGGGUUCAAAUAGACUCUUUAGGAAAUAAAAUGAACCCUGUU
Molecule: unclassified non-coding RNA, 293 nt
Organism: Mesocricetus auratus (golden hamster)
Lineage: Eukaryota; Metazoa; Chordata; Mammalia; Rodentia; Cricetidae
Gene: 7SK
Rfam family: 7SK RNA
About the family: 7SK was discovered as an abundant small nuclear RNA in the mid-70s but a possible function has only recently been suggested. Two independent studies have found that 7SK RNA binds the CDK9/cyclin T complex (known as elongation factor P-TEFb). P-TEFb activates transcription by phosphorylating the C-terminal domain of RNA polymerase II.
Source: Ensembl